RNAcentral lists this non-coding RNA (643 nucleotides) under Sporolactobacillus inulinus CASD. RNAcentral's name for it is "Bacterial small subunit ribosomal RNA". It matches the Rfam family "Bacterial small subunit ribosomal RNA", at positions 201 to 831 of the family's 1533-position model. Lineage: Bacteria; Bacillati; Bacillota; Bacilli; Caryophanales; Sporolactobacillaceae. The record is from Rfam by way of RNAcentral.
UGAAAGAUGGUUUCGGCCAUCACUUACAGAUGGGCCCGCGGUGCAUUAGUUAGUUGGCGGGGUAAUGGCCCACCAAGACCGCGAUGCAUAGCCGACCUGAGAGGGUGAUCGGCCACAUUGGGACUGAGACACGGCCCAAACUCCUACGGGAGGCAGCAGUAGGGAAUCUUCCACAAUGGACGAAAGUCUGAUGGAGCAACGCCGCGUGAGCGAAGAAGGUUUUCGGAUCGUAAAGCUCUGUUGCCGGAGAAGAACGAGUGCCAGAGGAAAUGCUGGUGCUGUGACGGUAUCCGGCCAGAAAGCCACGGCUAACUACGUGCCAGCAGCCGCGGUAAUACGUAGGUGGCAAGCGUUGUCCGGAAUUAUUGGGCGUAAAGCGCGCGCAGGCGGCUUCUUAAGUCUGAUGUGAAAUCUUGCGGCUCAACCGCAAAAGGUCAUUGGAAACUGGGGAGCUUGAGUGCAGAAGAGGAGAGUAGAAUUCCACGUGUAGCGGUGAAAUGCGUAGAGAUGUGGAGGAAUACCAGUGGCGAAGGCGGCUCUCUGGUCUGUUACUGACGCUGAGGUGCGAAAGCAUGGGGAGCAAACAGGAUUAGAUACCCUGGUAGUCCAUGCCGUAAACGAUGAAUGCUAGGUGUUAGGGGGG